AUUGAACGCUGGCGGCAGGCCUAACACAUGCAAGUCGAGCGGAAACGAGAAUAGCUUGCUAUUCGGCGUCGAGCGGCGGACGGGUGAGUAAUGCAUAGGAAGUUGCCCAGUAGAGGGGGAUAACCAUUGGAAACGAUGGCUAAUACCGCAUAACCUCUUCGGAGCAAAGCGGGGGACCUUCGGGCCUCGCGCUACUGGAUACGCCUAUGUGGGAUUAGCUAGUUGGUGAGGUAAUGGCUCACCAAGGCGACGAUCCCUAGCUGGUCUGAGAGGAUGAUCAGCCACACUGGGACUGAGACACGGCCCAG
Molecule: ribosomal RNA, 308 nt
Filed under: uncultured Vibrio sp.
Lineage: Bacteria; Pseudomonadati; Pseudomonadota; Gammaproteobacteria; Vibrionales; Vibrionaceae
Description: bacterial SSU rRNA
Rfam family: Bacterial small subunit ribosomal RNA
Source: RNAcentral